Long non-coding RNA from Diabrotica virgifera virgifera (western corn rootworm), 220 nucleotides. RefSeq lists it as uncharacterized. Lineage: Eukaryota; Metazoa; Arthropoda; Insecta; Coleoptera; Chrysomelidae. The record is from RefSeq and is a predicted model, not a curated record. The transcript has 2 exons.
AUACUGACCGAGAAGAGCUCACUCAGCAUAAGAGUGGGAAUGACGUUUAAGCCAAAUGAAGCAAAAAUUUGAAAUACAACCGUGCUGGCGACUGGAAACCAAUUGAAACUCGAAACGUCGAUGUCAGUAUAAUCAUUGAAGUAAAAAUAGGUUGCCAUGAAAAAUAGUACUAUACCAUUAACACCAGUGCUUGUCAUAUAGCAGCCUCUCCGUCCAAAUC